GGGCCUCUAGCUCAAUCGGUUAGAGCAGCAGACUCAUAAUCUGUUGGUUCGGGGUUCAAGUCCCCGGGGGCCCACCA
This 77-nucleotide transfer RNA is filed under the name Spectribacter acetivorans. RNAcentral's name for it is "tRNA-Ile". It matches the Rfam family "tRNA". From Rfam's summary of the family: Transfer RNA (tRNA) molecules are approximately 80 nucleotides in length. Their secondary structure includes four short double-helical elements and three loops (D, anti-codon, and T loops). The record is from RNAcentral. Lineage: Bacteria; Pseudomonadati; Pseudomonadota; Gammaproteobacteria; Salinisphaerales; Salinisphaeraceae.